This 534-nucleotide long non-coding RNA is filed under the name Struthio camelus australis. RNAcentral describes it as "lncRNA (ENSSCUG00000007069.1)". Lineage: Eukaryota; Metazoa; Chordata; Aves; Struthioniformes; Struthionidae. The record is from RNAcentral.
CAGCAGCCGGUGGCUUUUUCAUCUCAGAAUUCUGUAAGACAUUUGGAUACUGAAAAUUCCUCUCCUCAUGUGGGAUGAGUCAGGCAGAUGCAGUAAGGUGCAAUAUGGAAUACCAAAAUUUUAAGCAAUUUGGAAGAGAAAGAAGGGUCAUGGAGAGAAGUUGUGGAGCCAAAGUUGGAAAGCUCAAGGUCUCCCUAAGAGAUAACCAAUUGGAUCUGGGGCAAACAAACAAAAAGAGUAAUCAGACUCCACUGACCUGUUUAACCCUGAAUGUGAAGGAUGAAAUGCAGCAACCGUUUUCUGUGGAACAGGGCUUCUGAUGGCACUUGCUUUUUUCCUUUUGGACUAUGUUGACUUAAAAACGAUCAAGAUAUUGAAUUGAUAAUGUGAAUUUGCACCCACCCGACUGUGUUCCAUCACUUUUUGUAGCAGGUAUGUCAUUUGAAUCAUUUUGCCUCAUUUUUCAGCAUAAAGUCAGAUGAAUUAUGGGUAUGGUAAAAUAAAAGGCAUAUUAUUAUGACCUCUAGAUAAGCU